UCGGGAAUUUUGGGCAAUGGGCGAAAGCCUGACCCAGCAACGCCGCGUGAGGGAUGAAGUAUUUCGGUAUGUAAACCUCGAAAGAAUGGGAAGAAUAAAUGACGGUACCAUUUAUAAGCUCCGGCUAACUACGUGCCAGCAGCCGCGGUAAUACGUAGGGAGCAAGCGUUGUUCGGAUUUACUGGGCGUAAAGGGCGCGUAGGCGGCGCGGUAAGUCACUUGUGAAAUCUCUGAGCUUAACUCAGAACGGCCAAGUGAUACUGCUGUGCUAGAGUGCGGAAGAGGCAACCGGAAUUCUUGGUGUAGCGGUGAAAUGCGUAGAUAUCAAGAGGAACACCUGAGACGAAGGCGGGUUGCUGGGCCGACACUGACGCUGAUGCGCGAAAGCCAGGGGA
This 395-nucleotide ribosomal RNA is filed under the name uncultured bacterium. Its description in RNAcentral is "bacterial SSU rRNA". It matches the Rfam family "Bacterial small subunit ribosomal RNA", at positions 355 to 767 of the family's 1533-position model. The record is from RNAcentral.